RNAcentral lists this ribosomal RNA (215 nucleotides) under uncultured bacterium. RNAcentral's name for it is "partial 16S ribosomal RNA". It matches the Rfam family "Bacterial small subunit ribosomal RNA", at positions 117 to 331 of the family's 1533-position model. The record is from RNAcentral.
AUAAGCAACGUGCCCCAAAGACCGGGAUAGUCGCUGGAAACGGCGGGUAAUACCGGAUGAGGCCCUCACCCGGCAUCGGGAGAGGAUCAAAUGGUUUUUCGCUUUGGGAGCGGCUUAUGGCCUAUCAGGUUGUUGGUGAGGUAACGGCUCACCAAGCCGACGACGGGUAGCGGGUCUGAGAGGAUGAUCCGCUCGAGUGGGACUGAGACACGGCC